Long non-coding RNA from Rana temporaria (common frog), 654 nucleotides. RefSeq lists it as uncharacterized. The record is from RefSeq and is a predicted model, not a curated record. Lineage: Eukaryota; Metazoa; Chordata; Amphibia; Anura; Ranidae. The transcript has 2 exons.
UUUUUUAUGGGGGGGGGGGUGAGAUCCAUUGUGGAAUUAAUGUCAAUGUGUUUUUAAUACUCAAAAUUAAGACAAUAUACAGGAAAAGGAUAGUCUGCUCAGCAGUUGGUGACACAUAUGGACUCAGUAGCACAAUUGUUGGCCACAAAAACGUCAUUAUUUAGGGGUUAACACAGAGGUGAGGUCAUCCAGUGGAUACUUGGUUUGCUUCCAUGUUGAAAAAUAAACCAAAGGUACAACGAGUUUAUUCAUCUUUGGCAAUGCCUACAAUCCUGCGUCCUGCUUAGAGUGGAUUUAAAAACCAACAAUAGUCCCCGAAAUUAGUUGAAGAAUGAUUCAUAUUCCUCUUUCAGGCCUACAAUCUUUUGAAAUAAUGUUUAAAACACCUUUUCUUCAUUCUUGUAGGGCGACAUGAAGCAGAGAACCAGGAAGCACCGAUCCAAGGCCCACCCCCGCGGGAUGAGUCUGCCACCACAUCCGGAGCUGGUGGUGGCUUGGACACGCAUACUGCCCAGAUGAUAAUCUCAGAAAUCUUGGCGUGCAGGGAAGAAGUGGAGGAAAUAAAUCAGGCCAGCCGAGAAAUUGUACAAAGGACAAGGAGGGUGGAAAAUAAAUUACGCAAUCUAAUAGAUGUUUUGGGUAGAGUUUAAAACU